RNAcentral lists this unclassified non-coding RNA (336 nucleotides) under Hevea brasiliensis (rubber tree). The record is from RNAcentral. Lineage: Eukaryota; Viridiplantae; Streptophyta; Magnoliopsida; Malpighiales; Euphorbiaceae.
GUUGGUUUAGAUCCAGUGUAGAUCCCUGAUUUACUAGUGCUUGGAAAUGAUUCAAGCUCUUGCUCCUCUGAAGGUCCAGCUGAUAUCUUUACUGGAUAAAGCAAUGAAAUUUGUGAUAUCAUAUACUGCUGCCUCAUUCUUAGCUUCUUCUGCAGGUUUCUGAGACGACCAUAACCCCUCUCUCCAGAAAGUGACCUCUUUGAUUCCUGAAGUUGCUUGCUAGCUACGGAAAGAGAAGAACCAGCAACCAACAGAGAUUUGACUCCCACACCAAGCCUCUCUUCUUCCUUUUUAGCAUCCUCAGCUGAAACCUUAGAACUCAACGAUAUGCUUUCC